RNAcentral lists this ribosomal RNA (265 nucleotides) under uncultured bacterium. Its description in RNAcentral is "partial 16S ribosomal RNA". It matches the Rfam family "Bacterial small subunit ribosomal RNA", at positions 524 to 787 of the family's 1533-position model. The record is from RNAcentral.
UACGAAGGGUGCGAGCGUUGUUCGGAAUGAUUGGGCGUAAAGGGUUCGUAGGCGGGGACUUAAGUCGGGUGUGAAAGCCCUGGGCUCAACCUGGGAGUGGCAUUCGAUACUGGGUUUCGUUGAGUUUCGGAGGGGGUAGUGGAAUUGCUGGUGUAGGAGUGACAUCCGUAGAGAUCAGCAGGAACACCGGAGGCGAAGGCGAUUACCUGGCCGAGUACUGACGCUGAGGAACGAAAGCGUGGGGAGCAAACAGGAUUAGAAACCC